Molecule: long non-coding RNA, 162 nt
Organism: Esox lucius (northern pike)
Lineage: Eukaryota; Metazoa; Chordata; Actinopteri; Esociformes; Esocidae
Exons: 3
Source: RefSeq, a predicted model, not a curated record
UAAAACGCUAAAACCAUGACUAAAACAUGCAGCAGUCGUGACCAUGAUCGUGAAGAUAUUAUCUUGUUCUGCAAACCAUCUCGGAGGAGGACUACUAGGCCGGACUUUAAAGGAGAAAAUUGAACCCAUGAUGCAGAAUCCUGAUAAAAACAUCGACAUGAU